RNAcentral lists this ribosomal RNA (850 nucleotides) under Rhodococcus sp. (in: high G+C Gram-positive bacteria). Its description in RNAcentral is "bacterial SSU rRNA". It matches the Rfam family "Bacterial small subunit ribosomal RNA", at positions 89 to 971 of the family's 1533-position model. The record is from RNAcentral. Lineage: Bacteria; Bacillati; Actinomycetota; Actinomycetes; Mycobacteriales; Nocardiaceae.
GUCCGAGUGGCGACGGGUGAGUAACACGUGGGUGAUCUGCCCUGCACUUCGGGAUAAGCCCGGGAAACUGGGUCUAAUACCGGAUAGUACUGCGCGGUGCAUGCCGUGUGGUGGAAAGAUUUAUCGGUGCAGGAUGGGCCCGCGGCCUAUCAGCUUGUUGGUGGGGUAAUGGCCUACCAAGGCGACGACGGGUAGCCGGCCUGAGAGGGCGACCGGCCACACUGGGACUGAGACACGGCCCAGACUCCUACGGGAGGCAGCAGUGGGGAAUAUUGCACAAUGGGCGCAAGCCUGAUGCAGCGACGCCGCGUGAGGGAUGACGGCCUUCGGGUUGUAAACCUCUUUCAGCAGGGACGAAGCGCAAGUGACGGUACCUGCAGAAGAAGCACCGGCCAACUACGUGCCAGCAGCCGCGGUAAUACGUAGGGUGCAAGCGUUGUCCGGAAUUACUGGGCGUAAAGAGCUCGUAGGCGGUUUGUCGCGUCGUCUGUGAAAACCAGCAGCUCAACUGUUGGCUUGCAGGCGAUACGGGCAGACUUGAGUAUUUCAGGGGAGACUGGAAUUCCUGGUGUAGCGGUGAAAUGCGCAGAUAUCAGGAGGAACACCGGUGGCGAAGGCGGGUCUCUGGGAAAUAACUGACGCUGAGGAGCGAAAGCGUGGGUAGCGAACAGGAUUAGAUACCCUGGUAGUCCACGCCGUAAACGGUGGGCGCUAGGUGUGGGUUUCCUUCCACGGGAUCCGUGCCGUAGCUAACGCAUUAAGCGCCCCGCCUGGGGAGUACGCGCAGCUAAACUCAAGAUUGACGGGGGCCGCACAGCGCGAGCAUGUGAUAUCGAUGCACGCGAGACCU